This 253-nucleotide ribosomal RNA is filed under the name uncultured prokaryote. RNAcentral describes it as "partial 16S ribosomal RNA". It matches the Rfam family "Bacterial small subunit ribosomal RNA", at positions 525 to 777 of the family's 1533-position model. The record is from RNAcentral.
ACGAAGGGGGCUAGCGUUGCUCGGAAUUACUGGGCGUAAAGGGCGCGUAGGCGGACAGUUUAGUCAGAGGUGAAAGCCCAGGGCUCAACCCUGGAAUUGCCUUCGAUACUGCUUGGCUAGAGACCGGAAGAGGUAAGUGGAACUGCGAGUGUAGAGGUGAAAUUCGUAGAUAUUCGCAAGAACACCAGUGGCGAAGGCGGCUUACUGGUCCGGUUCUGACGCUGAGGCGCGAAAGCGUGGGGAGCAAACAGGA